AUACGUAGGACGCGAGCGUUGUCCGGAUUUACCGGGUGUAAAGGGUGCGUAGGCGGCUCUGCAAGUCAGGUGUGAAACCCAUCGGCUUAACUGAUGGACUGCAUUUGAAACUGUGGGGCUUGAGUGGAGUAGAGGCAGACGGAAUUCCCGGUGUAGCGGUGAAAUGCGUAGAGAUCGGGAAGAACACCAGUGGCGAAGGCGGUCUGCUGGGCUCUAACUGACGCUGAGGCACGAAAGCAUGGGUAGCAAACAGGAUUAGAUACCCUGGUAGUCCAUGCCGUAAACGAUGAUUACUAGGUGUGGGGAGUCUGACCCUCUCCGUGCCGGAGUUAACACAAUAAGUAAUCCACCUGGGAAGUACGACCGCAAGGUUAAA
This 376-nucleotide ribosomal RNA is filed under the name uncultured bacterium. RNAcentral describes it as "bacterial SSU rRNA". It matches the Rfam family "Bacterial small subunit ribosomal RNA", at positions 523 to 898 of the family's 1533-position model. The record is from RNAcentral.